RNAcentral lists this ribosomal RNA (208 nucleotides) under uncultured bacterium. RNAcentral's name for it is "partial 16S ribosomal RNA". It matches the Rfam family "Bacterial small subunit ribosomal RNA", at positions 568 to 774 of the family's 1533-position model. The record is from RNAcentral.
CGCGUAGGCUGCCGAUCAAGUCAGAUGUGAAAUCCCGUGGCUUAACCACGUGAAGUGCAUCUGAAACUGGUUGGCUUGAGUACUGGAGGGGAAGGUGGAAUUCCCGGUGUAGAGGUGAAAUUCGUAGAGAUCGGGAGGAAUACCGGUGGCGAAGGCGACCUUCUGGACAGAUACUGACGCUGAGGCGCGAAAGCGUGGGGAGCAAACA